UUCACCAUUUUUUCUCUCUACUAAAGAAAAGUUUUCUCUCAAUUUUCCCUCUCCAUACGCACAACUCUUUUUUCCUUCAACUCUUGCCUCCUUUUAUAGAGAAUUUUUUGCUGCCCAGUUGCUUCAAAAAAUUCAAGAAAGAUGGCUGUAAAUGGGUUGUUAAAUGGCUGGAGCAAAGCUGGAAGCUCCACCGCCUUAGUUGCUGGAAAGGUCAAGAAAAUUUAGCCGAAUUUUCUUCAAGUAUUUCGACUGAAGAGGAGCAAUCAAAAUUGCCAACGUUCCAUUUGGAUGCAUGCAUGUGUCUUGCUUGGUUGUUAAGUAAGUGUCAUGAUAAAAAAAAAGUGGCUUUAUUUUCAACACAUGAUUUAUUUACUGUAAAUGAGUUUUCAACACUUACAUAUUCCCUGGAGCCUCGGCAGAUGAUAUUGGCAGAAAGGUGAACGGCUUGGUGUAAAUCUGUAUAAAAGCAACAUAAUUACUUUUAUGACUGGAAUGCAGCAGCUAGCUUUCAAACGAGUUAUAAUGAAGAUGAAGAUUCAAUAAAAAACUAAGUUACCAAUGGGAUGAAGCCCUUCAAUGAGAAUGAACAGGCACAAUUCCUACGGUGAGUGGCAAGGUAAAUCUUGGUUACAUAUACUUAGUGGCUAUAUCUGAAUCUGAUUGAACAAAAAUGAAGGGUUUGCUAUGAGGUAGCAAGCUUGACUAAGAUUAAAAUAUUAUCUACAAAUAAAUGAGUUACUUAUUUUGACAGUAAGAGUUACUUCCACAAUAAAUUUCUUUUACUUAAAAGCAAGAAAAACUAGCUUGUCCAGACAUGUUUAGAAAAACUUUUUAUUUUCUUUAAGCUUAAGUAAACAUGCUCUAUGAAGAAUGGUUGAGUAGAGAAACCCCACCUCUUGAGUUGCAGGAUUACAAUAGUAAAAAGAUCCCAAAUUUGCCCUUUAACAUCAAAAGAAAAAAAAUGUUUGUUUAUGAAAGUCGACUGAAGUUUGUCAAUGGCCCAUAGUUAUAAGUUGCCGCCAAAAUGACACAAAAAUUCACCAAAAUGUAACUUGUAAAUUUUUUAAAAAAAAAAAUGUAAGAUAAAUCAGUUCCUUGGAUUCUCUCUUCCUUUUACUAUCAAGGACAACAUUAUAGAUACAUUGGUUAUAGGAGUCAAAACAUGCAUAAGAGUGUGCAAUCACAAAGCUCAAUUCAAUGAUAUAUUUUUGAAAAAAUAAAACAGGCCAUGAACUAUUUAAUAUUACAAUAUUAAAAAUCAUAUAAUCCAUAUAGCUAAAAAGGCUCAAUUAACCAGAGAAAAUAUCAAUUGCCAACCUUUAACAUUUGAAAUAAUUACUAAUCACAGACAACCUAUGAGCCAGAUGAUCAGCAAUAUUAAAAAUGUUUCUAAGUUCUAGACAAAUGGAAUGAAGGAAUCUAUUCAAUCUGAAGUUGAAAAGCUUUUGAGAAAUAUUUUAGUGCCGAUAAUAAAAUUUGUGAAAUGUUUUAGUCAGCCCAUAGGAAAGGCUGCUACGAAGGGGACCCUCUCUCGGCCUACAACUAACACUGGCAGAGGCUAAAAUUGGGGAAAUGACAAUUAAAAUCAGUCCACCUAGGGAUGAAAACAACCUUUCAAAAGAAGAAAGUACCAUAGGAUUCACAGGAAAAUACUCAACAACAGGAGGGUAACAACCUCAAGGACGAGAUCUAACUUCGCAUCGACAUUCAAAAAUGGUUCAACAUUAAUAGUUUCCCAUGUUAUACAGUUUCUCAUUGACGCUGCAUGUUGAAAACAACGAAAGAUUAAAACUUAGAUGUAGGCUAUAAUAGGCAUUGCUUAAUCAUGCAAAAUGAAAUUGAUAGAACCUCAACCUGCAAUACCGAAAUGAUAAGACUCCUGGACCCAAUUGAAGGAAAUAACAAACUCACAGCAAUAAGAUCUUAAUGCAACGAUUUAUUGAUGAACAACAGAAAAUAACAAAUCCCAGGCUAAUCGAGAGGCCUGGUCUCUCCCCCUUGACUCAACCAAAACGUGAAUGCCUUUUUCCUUCCCGAAACCCCAUAUUUAUUUACACUUCCUACCACAAUGCUAUGACACUUUUACCCCUAACUAACUAACUUCAGCUGAUUUGGCAAGCUCCUUCAUCCUUCUAGAAUAGGUGAACUGGAUUGAGGGUCUAUCAUUACCCGCCGCCCCAAAAUCCACCUUGUCCUCAAGGUGGAGGUGUCGUUCAACUUCAAAAUUUGGAAUUCCAUACAAGUGAAUCGGUUCUUUGGUAAGAAUACUUAUCAAGGCAAAUGUCAAAAUGGGAUGUUUCAGCCCAAAUGCAUUCAAAAAGUUUUGGCGCUGAACACCUACGCUUAGAAUGUUAUCCAUACAAAUCCCAUAACCAGACACACCCUUUUGCGGACUUUCCAAUUUCUGAACAUGAAAAUCCAGAAUAAAAUUGUAACUUAUUGGACCCCUUUUUAUUGUAAUUGUUAGACACCUCACUAUAGCCAUCGUAGACGUUUGAGCGGUAAUAGGUGUUGGGUACGUAGGGUAAAUUAUAUGGGGAAAUUGCCGUGAGGGUGGGGAUUUAAAUUUGGGCAGAAAUAAUUAGGGAAUAUAUUUGAGCUGAAAUGAUUGGGAAUAAAAAUAAUGGUUAUAACUUUUAUAUCCAUAUGGGCCGGCAACAUAUUUAGCCCUUUUCAAUGACUCAAGCCUGUCUUCACCCCUUUUAGCUGGGGGUAACUUUAGAAAUAGCUAUAAUAUUCUUCCAAUUUUUCACAAUAGCCUUUCUUGCUAAAAGUACUAUAUUGCCCUUAAUGAAAUUAUUUGCAAGAUUUAUCUUAUAUCUUUAAGGAAUUGUCAAUCAGGUCCUAUAUCUAUAUUUUUCAAUCUUUUGAACACCUUUAAAUAUUCUUUAUAUUUUAGUAAUUCUUCAAAGAUUAUAGGUUGACCUUUCUUAGUUAUAUAUCCAUUAAAUAAUCCUACUGAAAUUUCUUCUUGGAUAUCCGUAUGUUUAGUUAUAAUAUCUUCUACUUUCCUUAUUUCUUUAUGAGUUCUUACAGGAUCAAAUCCUAUAUUAUUCUUACAACUAUAAUCUAUAUCUCUAUAUAUUUCUUCAAUUUUUUCUUUACCAAUAGGGAAUAUAACAUCAGAUUUUACAUCUAAUUUAAGCAGAAAAGAAACAUCUUCUUCAUCUAAAAAUAAAAUGAGAUUUUUAUCAUUAUUAACAGUAGAAGUGGAUGCUUGUGAAUUGCUCAUCAAAGAUAAUUAAAGCAUAAGCAUGUAAAAAUAAGUAAAUAACUUACAGUAAUCAAGUGGAAUAAACAGGUUUUCCCUCCAGUAUGCUCUUAUAGAUGCUUUGCAUGUACUUAAUCAAUCUUCUGAAUCAAGUAAAGAUUUAAAAUGUUUUUGAAAUCAUUUGGGUCCACAACUGCUUCCGCAAAAGGCUUUUCAAUUAAGGUUGCAUUUCUCAUUCUAGAGAACUAGCCGUGUUUCCACAGACGCUAUCUCACAGUAUCCAGAGUCUCUGUUUUCACCUCUAUCCAAACUCUUUUCAGAAUCAAGUUCUUACUUGGAACGAAAUUUUAAAAGAUAACUCACACACAAGGUGCUACAAAAUUUUUGUUAGAAACUGCCUUUUUCCCCUAAACCAUUCAUCAAAGACGGGUACUUUAGCAUGGCUAACAUCCAUUCAAAAUCAAUGUUUUGAAAAUCUUUUAAAAUCUCUAUCUGUACUGCCGAGGAAUCAUGAGAAGCUUAACGAAAUCCUUUUAUGGAAACUUUGUUGAACAUAACAAACUUUACUUUGAUAUUCAUAAACUGAAAUUGUACAUGCUUACAAACUAUAUUUACAUACCUUUGGUACUCACCUUAUGAAGUUUAGAACUCCAUAAGUGAUUACCUUAUUACACGCUUUCCUAUCUUCAAGCUAUCUAAUCUUUUUCUGAAUACAAGUAGUGUAAUCAGAUUACAAAAGAAUUUUCUCUAAUGUGUUCUCAGAGAAUAGAGAUAGAUUUUUCGAGAUAUCUUCCUUCUUCCUGCAUGUCCCCUUUUAUAGGAGAGUUUGGAAUCUUAUCUUGGACAGGUGUCUUCCACUUUCUUUGUUAGGUAGCAAGGCAUCUUAUCUCCACCGAAUUCUUCAUUGUCUUCUUGCUAUGUGGACCUCUCUUUUGAAAAUUAUGUGCCUUAUCUUUUGAAUUUGUCUGCCACUUGUGUCAAUUAGUGGGUAAGUGGUCACAAUAAUGGAGACUUUCUAAUAUUAUUUCUUGUCUUUAGUAGCCACAGUUUUUCUUUAAUAAAUUUCUUUAUUAAAGUAGUGAUAAAGGGCUACUUCAAUCACCAUCAUUUCUCCAUUUUUGAAUCAAAGAAUUCUGCAGGGAAUUCUUCAUCGUUCAGAGAUGCUUGGCUCAUAUCUUCAACAACACAAUAUUCACAGUGGUGAUCACUGUAAUUCCAAAGUAUCUUGCAUAAUUCCUUAGCCAUAUCUUCCGAUCCAUGCACUUGGUUGGAUAUAAUUGCAGAUAAUAAAUGGUCAAGAUAACAAAUAUCUUCUUCUUUGGUAUCCAUUCUUGCAUUGGAAUAGAUAAUAUGAUCUUCAGAUGGAUAAACCCAUAUUUUUUCUUUCUCAGUGAUUAUCUGAGUUACAUGUUCAAAUAUCUCUUUAUACCCUUUGGCUCUUCUAUAGGGCAUCAUAUUAAGAAUAUCUUGAUAUCCAUUUUUAACAACCUUUUGAUUGGCUGGUAAAAAAUGUUGAUUUGUUAAUCCCAUUUUGAUCACAUGGAACGAUGGAUGCAUAUAUUCAAGGACAGGAUCCCAU
Molecule: long non-coding RNA, 4790 nt
Filed under: Olea europaea subsp. europaea
Lineage: Eukaryota; Viridiplantae; Streptophyta; Magnoliopsida; Lamiales; Oleaceae
Source: RNAcentral